GGCGAACGUUGGCGGUGAUGGUGGGACACGGCUCAGCUGGAGGGAGAAGAAGUUGCAAAGCCGUAAAUUCACUUGGGAGCGGUGAGGAAGGACUGUGAAGAUGAACCAUCCGUACAUUCUUGUGCCGUCUUGCGCCACGAGCUCGGCCCAGCAGUCGGUAGGUGCCAGCUUUACGCGGGCAUCCCCACGGAGGCAACGGUGGCCUCGCCGCACGCCGACCCACCGCCCUUCAGAAAACUCCGGUAUUUUAUACAUUUGCCAAGCAACGGCUCUCGACGCUUGCGGCCACGAGUGCAAAACACGCCUCGAUUGCAUCAGAAGCAGCCCAGGACGCACGUGCCUGCCGGCCAGGCGCGCUGCACAUGCCGUAACCAUCCCUUCUGUUGGUUCACGGGCUUUGCGCACGCGGCAAAUUACCCUCAUCCAUCGGUCCCAUCCACUGUGCUCUAACCAACGGCAAGACUUUUGCAAGGUAAGCAAAAUUAUGUGCGGUGCCUGGUAUUCCUCCAUUAUUGCAUGUACCACCUCCCCUAACGUUGCUGAACCUCCUUAGCCCCACGGUCAGCAUUUCAAACAACAGAUGAUAAACUCCCUGUUCCCUGUGCUGACUGCGUUUUUUAGUUAUCUACUUCUUACUCAGUGUUCAUCCACGGACCAAAAUUCCAGCUUUUAACCCUUCCGUACACAGGUGGAAAGAAAACAGGGGGUUGCAAAAAAUAAGGGGGUUUGCAGAAAAUACAGGAGUUUGCAAGAAACGGGGCUUGUAGUGAGACGGGGAACCAAAAGAACCGUAGUAGAUACAGUAGAUAUAUGAAUGUAGAUAGGCAUUGUUUAAUAAUUAUCUAGCUUAUAAUGAAGUUAAGGAAGUUUCAAUAGAGGUAGACAUGGCCCAAGGGGAUGAGAAGUGGUGCUUAACGUUUGAGGCUGACUGGGACAGGAGAUAGUCCCUGAGAAGGAGCAGCAGUGACUCCAAGAACCAGCCACGACUGACCUGGUGAUUUGGACAAAUGCCAAGGGACAACUGAGUGUGCGCAGGGACAGAAAGUUAAGAGUUCACCGUGAAGAAGACAUACAGCCUUCAUCUUCACGACCACCAGACGACCACCAUAAGGAGGCACUGCCCAAGGGCAGUUCAGAGGAGACUAUGGAAAUGACCUCUCGGAGCUAAUUUUAAUACGAAGCGGGGAUAGGUAAUGCCUACGUAUAGGCGUAUUGCGAAACGCCAUGUAUACGUAACACUCGACCGUAUAAACUCGAAGCGAACUCCCGCGUCGGCGCACGACUUUGGUGGGACUCCCCGCCGUGCUGCCCGGCGCUGAACGAA
Aquila chrysaetos chrysaetos is the source of this 1324-nucleotide long non-coding RNA. RefSeq lists it as uncharacterized. The transcript has 2 exons. The record is from RefSeq and is a predicted model, not a curated record. Lineage: Eukaryota; Metazoa; Chordata; Aves; Accipitriformes; Accipitridae.